Gossypium raimondii (Peruvian cotton) is the source of this 574-nucleotide long non-coding RNA. RefSeq lists it as uncharacterized. NCBI's taxonomy places the organism in Eukaryota, Viridiplantae, Streptophyta, Magnoliopsida, Malvales, Malvaceae. The record is from RefSeq and is a predicted model, not a curated record. The transcript is spliced from 2 exons.
GUUUUUCAAAUCAAACAAAACCCUUUUUCAAACCCUAAAAAAAAACAAUUCCCCUCUGCCAUUCCCAAAAAUGUGCCGCAGCACGGCAGCAGCACUUCCCUCUCUGCCAUUUCAAACCCUCACCGCUCCGAUGGCGACGAAACAAAGGGGUCUUCCAACGACACAAUGCCGGAAGAUCCUGGAAGGAUCGUGUACGACGUGGGAGUGAUGGGCAGUUGCUGCAACAUUCGCGGAGUUGCUGUGCGUGGGGUGAGGCUGCUGCGACAGGGGCGGCUACUAGGGUUUCUAUUUUUGGCUAAUUUGGGCUGGUACAGGGUAAUUGGUUUGGGCUAAUUUAGGUUUAAUCUAGGCUAGGGUUAAAUGGGGUUUAGCAAUGGACUUCUAAUUUUAAAUUUGGAUCUCUGAAGCUUUAGGCUAAUUGGGCCGUGUAAAGGAUUUUGGGCCCCGGGCAAUAAUUGGGUAUUACAGUCCAAAAGUGUUAAUUAACUCUCUUAGGCACAUAUUCAACCACUUGCAUACCCUCCUUCUUAGCAGAAGACAUUUUGGCUAUAAGAUCAGAAAUUUGAUUACAUUA